RNAcentral lists this ribosomal RNA (289 nucleotides) under Vibrio alginolyticus. Its description in RNAcentral is "partial 16S ribosomal RNA". It matches the Rfam family "Bacterial small subunit ribosomal RNA", at positions 1254 to 1533 of the family's 1533-position model. Lineage: Bacteria; Pseudomonadati; Pseudomonadota; Gammaproteobacteria; Vibrionales; Vibrionaceae. The record is from RNAcentral.
CUUGCGAAAGUGAGCGAAUCCCAAAAAGUGCGUCGUAGUCCGGAUUGGAGUCUGCAACUCGACUCCAUGAAGUCGGAAUCGCUAGUAAUCGUGGAUCAGAAUGCCACGGUGAAUACGUUCCCGGGCCUUGUACACACCGCCCGUCACACCAUGGGAGUGGGCUGCAAAAGAAGUAGGUAGUUUAACCUUCGGGGGGACGCUUACCACUUUGUGGUUCAUGACUGGGGUGAAGUCGUAACAAGGUAGCGUUAGGGGAACCUGGCGCUGGAUCACCUCCUUAUACGAUGAU